RNAcentral lists this ribosomal RNA (490 nucleotides) under uncultured bacterium. Its description in RNAcentral is "bacterial SSU rRNA". It matches the Rfam family "Bacterial small subunit ribosomal RNA", at positions 36 to 518 of the family's 1533-position model. The record is from RNAcentral.
CUAGCGGCAGGCUAACACAUGGCAAGUCGAGGGGCGAGCGGGAUGUAGCAAUACAUUGCCGGCGACCGGCGGAUGGGUGCGUAACGCGUAUGCAACCUACCUUAUACAGGGGAAUAACCUUUCGAAAGGGAGACUAACACCCCAUGGUAUUGAUUUAAGGCAUCUUAGAUUAAUUAAAUAUUUAUAGGUAUAAGAUGGGCAUGCGUAUGAUUAGCUAGUUGGAAGGUAACGGCUUACCAAGGCGACGAUCAUUAGGGGUUCUGAGAGGAAGGUCCCCCACACUGGUACUGAGACACGGACCAGACUCCUACGGGAGGCAGCAGUGAGGAAUAUUGGUCAAUGGGCGCAAGCCUGAACCAGCCAUGCCGCGUGCAAGGAAGACGGCCUUAUGGGUUGUAAACUGCUUUUACAUAAGACUAACCGUAUAUUUGCGAAUAUACCUGAAUGUAUUAUGAGAAUAAGGAUCGGCUAACUCCGUGCCAGCCGCCGC